This 222-nucleotide ribosomal RNA is filed under the name uncultured bacterium. Its description in RNAcentral is "partial 16S ribosomal RNA". It matches the Rfam family "Bacterial small subunit ribosomal RNA", at positions 112 to 334 of the family's 1533-position model. The record is from RNAcentral.
CGAACGUACACAACCUUCCGAUGAGUGGGGAAUAGCCCAGAGAAAUUUGGAUUAAUACCUCGUAACAUAUAGAGUAGGCAUCUUCUUUAUAUUAUAGCUUCGGCGCUUAUUGAUGGGUGUGCGUCUGAUUAGGUAGUUGGCGGGGUAACGGCCCACCAAGCCUACGAUCAGUAGCUGAUGUGAGAGCAUGAUCAGCCACACGGGCACUGAGACACGGGCCCG